CCCAAUUUCAUUUGCAACAGACAUGUUUUGUGACUUAUAACUUCCUCUACCUCCAGGUCCACAAGAUUCAAUGCCUCAGGCCUCAGCAGACAUUGAUUGCUUCCCACCAUACAUACCUUAAAGGCUUGCUGUAAAAUUUAUACAACCCUAAAUUGGAUAUGUGUAGCAGGUCCUCUGCAUAAAUAAUAAGGCUUCCAGUUUGGUG
RNAcentral lists this long non-coding RNA (205 nucleotides) under Rattus norvegicus (Norway rat). Its description in RNAcentral is "long non-coding RNA NONRATT033860". The record is from RNAcentral. Lineage: Eukaryota; Metazoa; Chordata; Mammalia; Rodentia; Muridae.